AUUGAACGCUGGCGGCAGGCCUAACACAUGCAAGUCGAGCGGAUGAAGGGAGCUUGCUCCUGGAUUCAGCGGCGGACGGGUGAGUAAUGCCUAGGAAUCUGCCUGGUAGUGGGGGAUAACGUCCGGAAACGGGCGCUAAUACCGCAUACGUCCUGAGGGAGAAAGUGGGGGAUCUUCGGACCUCACGCCAUCAGAUGAGCCUAGGUCGGAUUAGCUAGUUGGUGGGGUAAAGGCCUACCAAGGCGACGAUCCGUAACUGGUCUGAGAGGAUGAUCAGUCACACUGGAACUGAGACACGGUCCAGACUCCUACGGGAGGCAGCAGUGGGGAAUAUUGGGCAAUGGGCGAAAGCCUGAUCCAGCCAUGCCGCGUGUGUGAAGAAGGUCUUCGGAUUGUAAAGCACUUUAAGUUGGGAGGAAGGGCAGUAAGUUAAUACCUUGCUGUUUUGACGUUACCAACAGAAUAAGCACCGGCUAACUUCGUG
RNAcentral lists this ribosomal RNA (484 nucleotides) under uncultured bacterium. Its description in RNAcentral is "partial 16S ribosomal RNA". It matches the Rfam family "Bacterial small subunit ribosomal RNA", at positions 30 to 507 of the family's 1533-position model. The record is from RNAcentral.